AGCGAACGCUGGCGGCAGGCCUAACACAUGCAAGUCGAACGGACCGAUCGGGGGUAGUGGCGGACGGGGGUGGAACACGUGGGAACGUGCCUUUAGGUUCGGAAUAGCUCCUGGAAACGGGUGGUAAUGCCGAAUGUGCCCUUCGGGGGAAAGAUUUAUCGCCUUUCGAGCGGCCCGCGUCUGAUUAGCUUGUUGGUUGAGGUAACGGCUCACCAAGGCGACGAUCAGUAGCUGGUCUGGGAGGAUGGCCCGCCACAUAUGGACUGAGACACGGCCCAAACUCCUACGGGAGGCAGCAGUGGGGAAUCUUGCGCAAUGGGCGAAGGCCUGACGCAGCCAUGCCGCGUGAAUGAUGUAGGUCUUAGGAUUGUAAAAUUCUUUCACCGGGGACGAUAAUGACGGUACCCGGAGAAAAAGCCCCGGCUAACUUCGUG
Molecule: ribosomal RNA, 434 nt
Filed under: uncultured bacterium
Lineage: Bacteria
Description: partial 16S ribosomal RNA
Rfam family: Bacterial small subunit ribosomal RNA
Source: RNAcentral